Molecule: ribosomal RNA, 468 nt
Filed under: uncultured bacterium
Lineage: Bacteria
Description: partial 16S ribosomal RNA
Rfam family: Bacterial small subunit ribosomal RNA
Source: RNAcentral
GACGAACGCUGGCGGCGUGCUUAACACAUGCAAGUCGAACGGAAAGGCCCUGCUUUUGUGGGGUGCUCGAGUGGCGAACGGGUGAGUAACACGUGAGUAACCUGCCCUUGACUUUGGGAUAACUUCAGGAAACUGGGGCUAAUACCGGAUAGGAGCUCCUGCUGCAUGGUGGGGGUUGGAAAGUUUCGGCGGUUGGGGAUGGACUCGCGGCUUAUCAGCGUGUUGGUGGGGUAGUGGCUUACCAAGGCUUUGACGGGUAGCCGGCCUGAGAGGGUGACCGGCCACAUUGGGACUGAGAUACGGCCCAGACUCCUACGGGAGGCAGCAGUGGGGAAUAUUGCACAAUGGGCGGAAGCCUGAUGCAGCAACGCCGCGUGAGGGAUGACGGCCUUCGGGUUGUAAGCCGCUUUCGCCUGUGACGAAGCGUGAGUGGCGGUAAUGGGUAAAGAAGCACCGGCUAACUCCGUG